This 484-nucleotide ribosomal RNA is filed under the name uncultured bacterium. Its description in RNAcentral is "partial 16S ribosomal RNA". It matches the Rfam family "Bacterial small subunit ribosomal RNA", at positions 28 to 523 of the family's 1533-position model. The record is from RNAcentral.
GACGAACGCUGGCGGCGUGCUUAACACAUGCAAGUCGAGCGGUAAGGCCCUUUCGGGGGCACACGAGCGGCGAACGGGUGAGUAACACGUGGGUGACCUGCCCUCAGCUCUGGGAUAAGCCUGGGAAACUGGGUCUAAUACCGGAUAUGACCUCCUAUCGCAUGGUGGGUGGUGGAAAGUUUUUUCGGCUGGGGAUGGGCCCGCGGCCUAUCAGCUUGUUGGUGGGGUGAUGGCCUACCAAGGCGACGACGGGUAGCCGGCCUGAGAGGGCGACCGGCCACACUGGGACUGAGACACGGCCCAGACUCCUACGGGAGGCAGCAGUGGGGAAUAUUGCGCAAUGGGCGAAAGCCUGACGCAGCGACGCCGCGUGGGGGAUGACGGCCUUCGGGUUGUAAACCUCUUUCGACCUUGACGAAGGCCUUCGGGUUGACGGUAGGGGUAGAAGAAGCACCGGCCAACUACGUGCCAGCCGCCGCCGUAA